Long non-coding RNA from Bos taurus (domestic cattle), 558 nucleotides. The record is from Ensembl. Lineage: Eukaryota; Metazoa; Chordata; Mammalia; Artiodactyla; Bovidae.
GGGGCUUCUUCUUUCAAAGCAGUGAUUUCCUGACAAGCCCCUUCAAAAGAACACUUCAUUUGGUGGUCCAGUGGUUAAGAAUCUGCCUCCCAACAGAGGGGACACAGCUUCGAUCCCCUGUACAGGAACUAAGAUCCCACAUGCCAAGGGGCAACUAAGCCCCAGGGCAGCAACCAGAGAGGCCAUAAGCAGCAAGUCUCAACUAGAGAAAGCCUGUGUGCGGAAAUGAAGACUCAAUGCAGCCCCCCAAAAAAUAAACUUCAUUCUGAUGACUCCAGCACCUGAGGUGAAGUUGCAUCCUUAGGGAUUACUUCCUCCACCUCCACACCUGCACACUUCUCUGUGGGCAGGGCCCCUGGGCAUGGGGAUAAAGACUAAUCCAGCAGGAGGAAGACUGGAAAGGUCCCUGCUUUGGGGACCUCCCAAAUUGAAAUUAAUCACAGCUAGCAUUUACUUCUCACUCGGUGCUCUGCACUGUUGUAAGAGCUAUGUGGAUAUUGACCCAUUUAAUCCUCCCAAUCACUCCAUAAACUCCAGGGCCUAAAAUUAUGACUGGAA